CAGUAGCCGCGGGAAUACGUAGGGUGCGAGCGUUAAUCGGAAUUACUGGGCGUAAAGCGAGCGCAGACGGUUAUUUAAGCAGGAUGUGAAAUCCCCGGGCUUAACCUGGGAACUGCGUUCUGAACUGGAUAGCUAGAGUGUGUCAGAGGGGGGUAGAAUUCCACGUGUAGCAGUGAAAUGCGUAGAGAUGUGGAGGAAUACCGAUGGCGAAGGCAGCCCCCUGGGAUAACACUGACGUUCAUGCUCGAAAGCGUGGGUAGCAAACAGGAUUAGAUACCCCGGUAGUCCCUGUCUCUUAUAC
RNAcentral lists this ribosomal RNA (301 nucleotides) under uncultured bacterium. RNAcentral's name for it is "partial 16S ribosomal RNA". It matches the Rfam family "Bacterial small subunit ribosomal RNA", at positions 509 to 807 of the family's 1533-position model. The record is from RNAcentral.